CAGCCGCCACGGUAAAACGAAGGGGGCUAGCGUUGUUCGGAAUCACUGGGCGUAAAGGGUGCGUAGGCUGGUUCUUAAGUCAGGGGUGAAAUCCCGAGGCUCAACCUCGGAACUGCCUUUGAUACUGGGGAUCUUGAGUCCGGAAGAGGUGAGUGGAACUGCGAGUGUAGAGGUGAAAUUCGUAGAUAUUCGCAAGAACACCGGUGGCGAAGGCGGCUCACUGGUCCGGAACUGACGCUGAGGCACGACAGCGUGGGGAGCAAACAGGAUUAGAUACCCGUGUAGUCCCUGUCUCUUAUAC
This 301-nucleotide ribosomal RNA is filed under the name uncultured bacterium. Its description in RNAcentral is "partial 16S ribosomal RNA". It matches the Rfam family "Bacterial small subunit ribosomal RNA", at positions 509 to 807 of the family's 1533-position model. The record is from RNAcentral.